AAGAGUUGGCACCUAAUUGGCUUGGUUUGAGUCUAAUUGGAUUAGAUUUAAUAAAUCAUUCAAUCUAGACCGUUAGAUCUUGAUCUACCGUUGGAUGAAGAUAUAAUGGAGAGUUGGUUUAACCCAAUUGGAUUGAGUUAGAGGGUGGCUACCAUAAUUGACCAUUGGAUCUUAAUCCCACCAUUGGAUGAAGACAUAAUGGGUCAAGUGAAUGGCGCCUUGCAUUGGAGCCCUUGGAUCAUUAUCAUGAAAGAUCAAGAGGUGAGGCGUGAUGGACAUGUGAUUAGCAUGUGAUGUUGACUUGGUCAAAAUAUGGCACCACAUGAAAGGACAUAUCAUU
This 340-nucleotide long non-coding RNA is filed under the name Phoenix dactylifera (date palm). Its description in RNAcentral is "long non-coding RNA (PDAC_LNC015454)". The record is from RNAcentral. Lineage: Eukaryota; Viridiplantae; Streptophyta; Magnoliopsida; Arecales; Arecaceae.